UACGGGGGGGGCAAGCGUUGUUCGGAAUUACUGGGCGUAAAGGGCUCGUAGGCGGCCAACUAAGUCGGAUGUGACAUCCCCAGGCUCAACCUGGGAACUGCAUCCGAUACUGGAUGGCUUGAAUUCGGGAGAGGGAUGCAGAAUUCCGGGUGUAGCGGUGGAAUGCGUAGAGAUCCGGAAGAACACCGGUGGCGAAGGCGGCCUGCUGGGCAGUUUAGCUGACACUGAGGCGCGACAGCGUGGGGAGCAAACAGG
This 255-nucleotide ribosomal RNA is filed under the name uncultured bacterium. RNAcentral describes it as "partial 16S ribosomal RNA". It matches the Rfam family "Bacterial small subunit ribosomal RNA", at positions 524 to 776 of the family's 1533-position model. The record is from RNAcentral.